This 425-nucleotide ribosomal RNA is filed under the name uncultured Parafilimonas sp. Its description in RNAcentral is "bacterial SSU rRNA". It matches the Rfam family "Bacterial small subunit ribosomal RNA", at positions 354 to 776 of the family's 1533-position model. The record is from RNAcentral. Lineage: Bacteria; Pseudomonadati; Bacteroidota; Chitinophagia; Chitinophagales; Chitinophagaceae.
GUAAGGAAUAUUGGUCAAUGGACGCAAGUCUGAACCAGCCAUGCCGCGUGGAGGAUGAAGGCCCUCUGGGUUGUAAACUUCUUUUAUUUGGGAAGAAAUGUGAUUAUUCUUUAUCACUUGACGGUACCAGAUGAAUAAGCACCGGCUAACUCCGUGCCAGCAGCCGCGGUAAUACGGAGGGUGCAAGCGUUAUCCGGAUUUACUGGGUUUAAAGGGUGCGCAGGCGGAUAUGUAAGUCAGUGGUGAAAUCUUUGGGCUUAACCCGAAAAUUGCCGUUGAUACUAUAUAUCUUGAAUGCUGUGGAGGUAAGCAGAAUAUGUCAUGUAGCGGUGAAAUGCUUAGAUAUGACAUAGAAUACCUAUUGCGAAGGCAGCUUACUACGCAGAUAUUGACGCUCAUGCACGAAAGCGUGGGGAUCAAACAGG